RNAcentral lists this ribosomal RNA (183 nucleotides) under uncultured bacterium. Its description in RNAcentral is "partial 16S ribosomal RNA". It matches the Rfam family "Bacterial small subunit ribosomal RNA", at positions 1319 to 1500 of the family's 1533-position model. The record is from RNAcentral.
CAUGAAGCUGGAAUCGCUAGUAAUCGCGGAUCAGAAUGCCGCGGUGAAUACGUUCCCGGGUCUUGUACACACCGCUCGUCACACCAUGGGAGUCGGGAAUGCCCGAAGUCAGUGACCCAACCGGAAAGGGGGGAGCUGCCGAAGGCAGGCCUGGUAACUGGGGUGAAGUCGUAACAAGGUACC